AUUGAACGCUGGCGGCAUGCCUUACACAUGCAAGUCGAACGGUAACAGGGAGCUUGCUCCGCUGACGAGUGGCGAACGGGUGAGUAAUAUAUCGGAACGUACCAUUGAGUGGGGGAUAACGUAGCGAAAGUUGCGCUAAUACCGCAUAUUCUCUCCGGAGGAAAGCAGGGGGACCGCAAGGCCUUGCGCUCAUUGAGCGGCCGAUAUCAGAUUAGCUAGUUGGUGGGGUAAAAGCUCACCAAGGCGACGAUCUGUAGCGGGUCUGAGAGGAUGAUCCGCCACACUGGAACUGAGACACGGUCCAGACUCCUACGGGAGGCAGCAGUGGGGAAUUUUGGACAAUGGGCGCAAGCCUGAUCCAGCAAUGCCGCGUGCAGGAUGAAGGCCUUCGGGUUGUAAACUGCUUUUGUACGGAACGAAAAGGCUCUGGUUAAUACCUGGGGCUCAUGACGGUACCGUAAGAAUAAGCACCGGCUAACUACGUG
RNAcentral lists this ribosomal RNA (485 nucleotides) under uncultured bacterium. Its description in RNAcentral is "bacterial SSU rRNA". It matches the Rfam family "Bacterial small subunit ribosomal RNA", at positions 30 to 507 of the family's 1533-position model. The record is from RNAcentral.